GGGGGAUGCUGAUGGCACUGUCCCCUGGACCACACUUUGAACAGCCAGGAAAAUGACACAGAGGCCGUCACGUGGCAUACCUCUAAACCAAGAAGGCAACUGGUUUGCAGAAAUAAUUCAGGAAAAAUCUCCUUAAAACAAUUAUGCCAGGGAAAUUGCAAAAAAUUAAAGCAAGAACGGAGGCUUACUCAAACUCUGGUAGGUUCCAGUCCAGCAUGAAGCCCAAUGCAGGGCUUGAACUCAAGACCCUGAGAUCAAAACCUGAGUUGAGAUCCAGAGCCAGAUGCUUAACCCACUGAGCCACGCAGGGGACCCAGUGAGUAACUUUUUUGUUUUGCCUUUAUUUUUAAAGAUAAAUUUAUUUUGAGAAAGAGAAAGAGGAGGGGAGGGGCCACGGGAAAGGGAGAGACAAUAUCUCCAGUAGACUCCUCCACUGA
This 437-nucleotide long non-coding RNA is filed under the name Mustela putorius furo (domestic ferret). RNAcentral describes it as "lncRNA (ENSMPUG00000028760.1)". Lineage: Eukaryota; Metazoa; Chordata; Mammalia; Carnivora; Mustelidae. The record is from RNAcentral.